AACCCGCGAGGGGGAGCUAAUCCCAUAAAGCCAGUCGUAGUCCGGAUCGCAGUCUGCAACUCGACUGCGUGAAGUCGGAAUCGCUAGUAAUCGUGGAUCAGCAUGUCACGGUGAAUACGUUCCCGGGUCUUGUACACACCGCCCGUCACACCAUGGGAGCGGGUCUCGCCAGAAGUAGGU
Molecule: ribosomal RNA, 180 nt
Filed under: Comamonas kerstersii
Lineage: Bacteria; Pseudomonadati; Pseudomonadota; Betaproteobacteria; Burkholderiales; Comamonadaceae
Description: partial 16S ribosomal RNA
Rfam family: Bacterial small subunit ribosomal RNA
Source: RNAcentral